Molecule: long non-coding RNA, 598 nt
Filed under: Citrus maxima (pomelo)
Lineage: Eukaryota; Viridiplantae; Streptophyta; Magnoliopsida; Sapindales; Rutaceae
Description: long non-coding RNA (CMAX_LNC003406)
Source: RNAcentral
AAAGAGUUCACAUCAGGCAUUACUUAAAAAUGAAUGGCAUUUCGUAUGUUCUUAUUUUCUUCUUGAUUCAUGGGUUGCUUCUUUCACAUACUACUUACAUGGCAAAAGCCACUGAUCAAUUUGUUUCAAAGUUUCCUUUGAAUGAAAUAUCUUCACAAGUUAUUAGUUAUCAUAUGUUGAAGGUGGUGCCCCAAAGGUCCCUAAGAGUAAAAUUUUCACGACCAACUCCGCCGAAGAGAAAUAAUCCUCCUCGUUGGUAUCGUCCUCCACCGAUAAAACGAUCACCGCCACCGCCUUCACUGAAAUGACAACUACCACCAUAAGAUAUAAGCAAUGAAAUUGCUUAUAGUGAUUAUCUUCCAUUUUCAAUUUUUUUUAAUAUAUGAUGUUAAAAUUAUCCUUAGAAUGAUGUAUUGUAAUUAAAUUAUGCAUGUUAUUGCCUGAAACAUCUAUUGUUGCGAGACAAUCAGAUCGCGGAAUAUGCUUUAGCUAAUUAUCUGGUACUCUUUUAUUAUGUUAAUAAAUUUUCACUCCUAGUCGAGGAUUUAAAAAAAAAAACAGAAAAUUACCUGAAACAACUACUUGAUUGAAAAUCGAU